CUGAAACUUCCAGUCUGAACCAGUUUGUCAUUACAUGUUCAAUGUUAUUUCUGCUUUGACUGAUUGAACUGCUGUAUAAGUCUUGAAGUUUUAAAGCUAGAACAACAGCAACCUUCAUUAUUACAGCACUUGAAUACAGCAGCAGAAUCACGAAGCUGUGAAGCCAAAGAAGCAGAAGUCAAGCUGUCCAUACGUUACAAUCUAUCAUUACAAAUAUUGUGUGUACUUGCUGGAUUUGGAAUGUUGUAGCUAUGCAGAUUUGUUCGGGAAGUUGAAUGAACUUUAUUUGGAGAUUCAAUGUUGUAUAAGAAGCUAAAAUUCCUGGAGAAGCUAAAAUUUUUGUUUCUCAGUUUUUGCAUUGUUCCUAGACCAUAAUUUUUCUCUUCUGGAAAUAAAAUUUAGUAAAAAAAAAAAAUUUCCGGU
This 423-nucleotide long non-coding RNA is filed under the name Vigna radiata. RNAcentral describes it as "long non-coding RNA (VRAD_LNC001350)". The record is from RNAcentral. Lineage: Eukaryota; Viridiplantae; Streptophyta; Magnoliopsida; Fabales; Fabaceae.